RNAcentral lists this ribosomal RNA (588 nucleotides) under uncultured bacterium. RNAcentral's name for it is "bacterial SSU rRNA". It matches the Rfam family "Bacterial small subunit ribosomal RNA", at positions 338 to 916 of the family's 1533-position model. The record is from RNAcentral.
CCUACGGGAGGCAGCAGUGGGGAAUAUUGGACAAUGGGCGCAAGCCUGAUCCAGCCAUGCCGCGUGUGUGAAGAAGGCCUUCGGGUUGUAAAGCACUUUUAUCCGGAAAGAAAAGCUUUGGGUUAAUACCCUGAAGUCAUGACGGUACCGGAAGAAUAAGCACCGGCUAACUUCGUACCAGCAGCCGCGGUAAUACGAAGGGUGCAAGCGUUACUCGGAAUUACUGGGCGUAAAGCGUGCGUAGGUGGUUUGUUAAGUCUGAUGUGAAAGCCCUAGGCUCAACCUGGGAAUUGCAUUGGAUACUGGCAGGCUAGAGUGCGGUAGAGGAUAGUGGAAUUCCCGGUGUAGCAGUGAAAUGCGUAGAGAUCGGGAGGAACAUCUGUGGCGAAGGCGACUAUCUGGGCCAGCACUGACACUGAGGCACGAAAGCGUGGGGAGCAAACAGGAUUAGAUACCCUGGUAGUCCACGCCCUAAACGAUGCGAACUGGAUGUUGGGUGCAACUAGGCACUCAGUAUCCGAAGCUAACGCGUUAAGUUCGCCGCCUGGGGAGUACGGUCGCAAGACUGAAACUCGAAAGGAUUGACGG